CUCUUUCUUCGAUAAGAACUCUUAGAAAAAAUAACGCUGUUAUCCCUAAGGUAAUUUUUUCUUUUAAUCUUAAAUAAAGGAUCAAAUAUACACAAAUCUGUGUCUAAUAAAAAAAAAGUUUAUUAAAUUUUUCAAUCACCCCAACUAAAUAUUAAAAUAUUUUAAAAAAAUAAUACUAAAAUUAAUUAAAAUAAAAUAAUAUCAAACUCUAUAGGGUCUUCUCGUCUUUUAAAAAAAUUUAAGCUUUUUUACUUAAAAAUAAAAUUCAGAAAUUAAAAACGAGACAGAAAUUUUCUCAUCAAACCCUUCAUUCCAGCUUCUAAUUAAGAAACUAAUGAUUAUGCUACCUUUGCACGGUCAAAAUACCGCGGCCAUUUAA
RNAcentral lists this ribosomal RNA (379 nucleotides) under Pseudips concinnus. RNAcentral describes it as "partial 16S ribosomal RNA". The record is from RNAcentral. Lineage: Eukaryota; Metazoa; Arthropoda; Insecta; Coleoptera; Curculionidae.